CCUGCAGCGGGGGCUGGGAGGGGGCAGCCCGGGGAGGGAUUUUUCUCGUGGAGUUUCCUCCAACUCCAACGGGUUAUUCUGUUUUACCUGCAUCAGGGAAAGAAGAAUCGGAGCUUUUAAGGGCUCUGAGCUGCGCACCCAAACCUGUGGCUGAUGGUUCUGGUCUGCUCUUGCUGUUAGCUUACAGAGAGAAGAUCUCUGUAAGUGAAGGAAACUGAGGCAUGGAGAGAAAGGGAUAUUUCCUGAGGGCUUGCAUCAGCGGCCUGGUGUGGAUGGAGCAGCCGUCCGGGUGUUUCCCGGUGGACCUGAAGAGUGAUGCUGCGGCAGCUCCGCGCUGUCAUCCGUGAUGCAGAUGUGUCACCGUCCCCCGGGGUCCCCGUGCGGCAGCCAGUGCCAGCUCCUGCUGCCACCACCAUCUCUGAGUCUGCGAAGGAGGGAACCUGAGGCCGGAGCAUCUGUGCACACAGCAGGGAGCUGGCUGCUGGCCCCGAGAUGCGCUGAGCGGUCACAAACAGGGGACAGAAAUCCCUGCCUGGCCUGGAAGGAGCCCCUCGGGCUCAGGAGAGGUGGAUGUGGUGGAUGUGCUGUCUCUGCCUCCCACAUCCCUUUGUCACCAUGAAGCUGAAUGCUGGGAGCCUGGUGGUGCAGCCCUGCUGCAAAUCCUGCUUCUGCUUGGGUUCUUCUGGGAUUCAUGACAGCCUGGAGGGCUCAGGGUGGGUGCAAGGGAGGAAUCCAGGAGGCAGAAAGAGCUGGGAAAUGUGAGGGAAGAGAGCUGUGGGGGAGGAUAAGGACCUGAGCUGGGUAUCAAGGGAUGGAGCAGCUGCUGCUAGCAGUGUCUGUGCCCAAGCAAGCUGCUCCUCUCUCUUUUGUAGCCCUCCCUGAGCCCACUGAGCUGAAUCCCCCCCAUAUUUCUGCCCUCCUCCUUCCUCUGCCCCUGGGUGUGCCAAGGAUGUCCCCUGAGACCCCACUACUGCCUUUCCCCUGCAGCCUCCCUGCAAAAACACUUUCCUAAGAACUCUGGAAUAAAAAAAGAAAGAAGAAACAGCCCCCUUGUUCUGCUGUGACCAACUGGCUCUUUUUCCAGUCACAAGGGCGAGCUGAAGCAAAAGUUUCCAUGCUGAGCAGGAACAGAAAGAGAGAGGGAGAAGUAACAAACCCUCCACUAAAGAAAAAAAAAAAACAAAACAAAAAAAAAAAAGACAAAGGAAAAAAAAGGGCAGCAAAAUCAAGCAUUGCUUCCUUUCCCUCAUCUACUUCCUUUUUGGAACAAGGCAGGGUACUUGGAAAAGUGUGCUCUAAGCAGGCGCAGAUGCAUGUGCUGCUGAGCUGGAGAUCAGAGUUGUGCAAACGUUGGUUUAGUUCUGCUCGAGCAGUGGAGUGAGGGGCGUGGGGCGCCUCUGAAUUCGGGUGCUUUGAGGUUAUUGCCACGUCAGUGUGCAAGGCUUUCCUGGCUUGCUUGCUGCCGGGUCCAAAGAGGCAGAAAUGUGGUUUAAAAGCUGAUGGUCCCCAUGACAUCUCAGGAUGCUGGGCUUUGGAGAAAUAUUGAACAAGGAGAGAUGGGCACCAAGUGCUUCCUUUUGGGUUGUGCUUCUGGGAGGUCAGCUUGGAACCACCAACAGAGCUCAGGUCCAAUGUUUUGCCGGCAGCAGUGUUGUUGCUUUGGGGGUCUGGAUGCACAUUGGAAGUGACAGUCCCUGUCCCACGGUGCUUCCUCUCUCUGCACCAUCAGAGUGAUGAGACAUUCUUGCUCUGGGGCAGCUAUGAAUAGCACUGGGAUUUUCAACCUGCAGAUUUUCAGGACAGAACCUCUAUCCAGGAAUCCUCACUGCAGCCUUCUGUAGGGCAGUGUGGGGCGGUGCUGGUGGCCUGCUAACAGCAUCCCUUCCUCCACCACUCAGCUGUGUGUCGUCUGCAAGCAUGCUGGGGGUGCACUCAGUUCCACAGUCAUCAUUGACAAAGAUGUUGAAGAUCACUGGCCUCAGCAUUUUGGUUUCUCCAAAAUCUCCCCUUGAGGUUCCUCCCUUGGUCCCCUCCUGCUAAAUGGUUCAUCCUGAACGCCCUCCUUAAUGCCCCUGAUAGUCACGCUGGCAUAAAUGCCUUUUGGACAGAACGCUGUCUCUCUGUACUCUGUACAGCCCUGAUGAGCUGCAUCCUUAAAAACUGAUCCAAGUGAUGUGACCUUUCCUCAGUCAUUCCCCACUGCCCCAGGAAUUUGGGAAUGAUGCACCUGUUUGUCUUUGCUGGGCCAUAAAGGAGAAGAGAAACAAAACAGCAAAAGAGAAAUAAAGCAGGGCAAGAGCAGCCGGCCCUCUCCUGGCUUGUUCUUAUGGGUGCCAGGGGCAGGAUGGCCCUGCCAGCAAUGGUAAUUCCCCACGGUGACAAUUCCCUGGCAAUUUCCUCCUUUCUCCUCCCUUUUCCCAGCAUCACUCUCACAUGCCAGCUCAGGCACGUCUCCGCAGCUCCAGGCAGAGAUGUGUGCCUGGCGCUGGUGUUGCACGGAGGUGAUGCUGCUCUGCUCUGCUCAGGCGGUCCCCUGCAACCACAGCCCCGCCAUUCCUCUUGGAGAAGCAAAUCCUGCUGGCUGUGACGCCGGCACAGGGGAGCAGCCACCCCGAGCGCCCUUCCCCAGCUCUCAGGAAGGGUGGAUGCUGUUUGAGGAGGCGAUGUGGGAACACUGCACCCCACAUCCCCUGGCUGUGACCCUCCCUUGGGGAAACGGCGCUUGCUGGGAGCCAACUUGCUGUCGUUUCUGGAAAGUGGAGCUUUGAGCAAACUAUUUAUAAAUGGAGUUUUCUUUAACUCCUGAAAUUGAGCCAUAACUUCAGACAAACAGGAAAAAAGAAAUGCAGGCAAAUAAACACAGGCAAAAAUAAAUAUAUUGGCAGCCUAAUUUUGCAAACAGUCCAGUGGUCUUGGGAAGGGUCCAGGUUUGGAAGCAUUGGCACUGGAGCUUGCCAAUGGCUUUUGGUGGCCUGCGGGGCUGCAGGGGUUUCUUUCUGCCUACUUUGCUCAAGGAUGAAUCCUCCAGAGUAUUUGCCCCCCAGGUUUUGGAGGAGCACAGACGGGACACAUCACCCAGCAUGUUUGCCUCCCAGAAUCUGCCAUCCCAAAAGCAGAGCUAGGGUGUGCAACCGUGAUGGGCUCCCCGUUGUUUGUCCCUCCACAGGACUGUGGAAGCCAGCAGUGCUUUGCUGUGCUGGGGCCACCGUUCCCUCCGCAGCACAGGACUGACAGCAGUGCUGUCAGCCCCCAGCAUAAAUCCUGCUGAUAUUUAAGCUCUGAGCCAUCUCUGCCCACCCACAAUUACCUCGGUGGGAAAUGCCAGGCACAGUGACCUUUCUCCAUGCGGGGGAUUUAUGGCCUUGCAUCGCCAGGGCUUUUACAGCCUGGUUUGUCGACACAGCCUCAAAUGCCACCAGGGAUGGGUGCCGCUCCAUACCCACAGAGCGUGGUGCUCCUGCAUCUGCAGGGCACGAGGCUCGUUGGAUGGCAGCACCUCACCCACUGCACUGUAAGCCCUGCCCAGCCUUGUCAGCACUGCGUGCCCCGCUCCCUGCACUCCCACCGGCAGCCCCAGCCCAUCUCAAACGCGUUCAUCCAUUUCUGCCACCGGAGAGAGCAGCUUCAGGAAGCAGGGCCAUAAAUUACUGGCAAUGAUUAGAAAUAAAAAUCAUUACUGUGA
Long non-coding RNA from Lagopus leucura (white-tailed ptarmigan), 3682 nucleotides. RefSeq lists it as uncharacterized. The record is from RefSeq and is a predicted model, not a curated record. The transcript has 2 exons. Lineage: Eukaryota; Metazoa; Chordata; Aves; Galliformes; Phasianidae.